AUCCAGAGAACUUAGCAGAGAUGCUUUGGUGCCUUCGGGAACUCUGAGACAGGUGCUGCAUGGCUGUCGUCAGCUCGUGUUGUGAAAUGUUGGGUUAAGUCCCGNAACGAGCGCAACCCUUAUCCUUUGUUGCCAGCGGUUCGGCCGGGAACUCAAAGGAGACUGCCGGUGAUAAACCGGAGGAAGGUGGGGAUGACGUCAAGUCAUCAUGGCCCUUACGGCCAGGGCUACACACGUGCUACAAUGGCGCAUACAAAGAGAAGCGACCUCGCGAGAGCAAGCGGACCUCAUAAAGUGCGUCGUAGUCCGGAUUGGAGUCUGCAACUCGACUCCAUGAAGUCGGAAUCGCUAGUAAUCGUAGAUCAGAAUGCUACGGUGAAUACGUUCCCGGGCCUUGUACACACCGCCCGUCACACCAUGGGAGUGGGUUGCAAAAGAAGUAGGUAGCUUAACCUUCGGGAGGGCGCUUACCACUUUGUGAUUCAUGACAGGGGUGAAGUCGUAACAAGGUAAGCGUAGCGAG
RNAcentral lists this ribosomal RNA (523 nucleotides) under uncultured bacterium. RNAcentral's name for it is "bacterial SSU rRNA". It matches the Rfam family "Bacterial small subunit ribosomal RNA", at positions 986 to 1509 of the family's 1533-position model. The record is from RNAcentral.